Molecule: ribosomal RNA, 468 nt
Filed under: uncultured bacterium
Lineage: Bacteria
Description: partial 16S ribosomal RNA
Rfam family: Bacterial small subunit ribosomal RNA
Source: RNAcentral
GACGAACGCUGGCGGCGUGCUUAACACAUGCAAGUCGAACGGAAAGGCCCUGCUUUUGUGGGGUGCUCGUGUGGCGAACGGGUGAGUAACACGUGAGUAACCUGCCCUUGACUUUGGGAUAACUUCAGGAAACUGGGGCUAAUACCGGAUAGGAGCUCCUGCUGCAUGUUGGGGGUUGGAAAGUUUCGGCGGUUGGGGAUGGACUCGCAGCUUAUCAGCUUGUUGGUGUGGUAGUGGCUUACCAAGGCUUUGACGGGUAGCCGGCCUGAGAGGGUGACCGGCCACAUUAGGACUGAGGUACGGCGCAGACUCCUACGGGAGGCAGCAGUGGGGAGUAUGGCGCAGUGGGCGGAAGCCUGAUGCAGCGACGCCGCGUGCGGAAUGACGGGCUUCGGGUUGUGAACCGCUGUCGCCUGUGACGAAGCGUGAGUGACGGUAAUGGGUAAAGAAGCACCGGCUAACUACGUG